This 326-nucleotide ribosomal RNA is filed under the name uncultured bacterium. Its description in RNAcentral is "bacterial SSU rRNA". It matches the Rfam family "Bacterial small subunit ribosomal RNA", at positions 32 to 339 of the family's 1533-position model. The record is from RNAcentral.
AUCAACGCUGGCGGCGUGCCUCAGACAUGCAAGUCGAACGCGAAAGUUUCCUUCGGGAGACAAGUAGAGUGGCGCACGGGUGAGUAACACGUAGGUAAUCUACCUUUGGAUGGGGAAUAACAACCGGAAACGGUUGCUAAUACCGCAUAAUGCAGCGGCACCUAAUGGUGACAGUUGUUAAAGCGGGGGAUCGAAAGACCUCGCGUCUAAAGAGGAGCCUGCGGCGGAUUAGCUAGNGGUAAGGUAAUGGCUUACCAAGGCUACGAUCCGUAACCGGCCUGAGAGGGCGGUCGGUCACACUGACACUGACAUACGGGUCAGACUCC